Molecule: long non-coding RNA, 115 nt
Organism: Neltuma alba
Lineage: Eukaryota; Viridiplantae; Streptophyta; Magnoliopsida; Fabales; Fabaceae
Exons: 3
Source: RefSeq, a predicted model, not a curated record
UCUUGUUAGUCUAAAAGGGUGUUUGGCUAACCCUAGAAGUACUUUUCCGCAAAUCGAAGCAAAUUCCUUCACAUAUUUACUUUGUAUACCGUAAAAGUACUUCUGAAACUAUAAU